AGGGAAGUAGCUGACGGCGCGAGGGGAGAGGCAGAGACGGGAGGUGGGGGAGUGGAGUGGAGAGGAGUAGAGCCGAAUCCGCGGCGGAAGUGCACGGCGCUCCGCGCCACCGCCGGCCGAGCCCGCGCUGAAAUCCGCGAGCGGCGAGCGGCGCACAGCAUAUGUUAGUGUGGACUGGAAUCUCGAUGUCAAUGAAAGGUACUUCCUUGUUUUAACCGUUAAGAGGUCAAUGGCCAGUCUGAGUGACAAAUCCUGGAAAAGAUGUCACCUUUCUUCCUGUAACCUAUUGAAAAGCAGAAAGAUCAAAGACUUACCAUCUUGAGGAUUUGUCUGACUGAAGCUUAGCCGUAGGCUCACCAAGAGCAUGAACAGAAGUAGCAGCCACUGCAUCUCCACCAUCGUACCACACGGUGUCACCCUCCACGCAAAUCAAAUUCACACCGGAGGAUAGCAAAAUCUGCUGAUUGUUCUUGUCGAAGAGCACUGUGCAGUGAACAAGCUCGAGUAGAUGCCAAAUGGCGUCUCCCUCCUUGAGGCUGGCAACCAGGCAAAGAAAAUAGCUAAUCAAACAAGACAACCUUAUAUAACUUGAUUCAAGGGAAUUCUUAUCAAACAUUGCCUAUGAGAAUGCUUACCAGGUCCAAGCAACAUGCACAUAGAAAAUGCAUGUAUGCGUUGUAGUGGGAGGCUUAAUUAAAAGAAACCUCUGAAGAGCUCAGUUGCUGAUCAAAAUGUGAAAUGAUUUAAUAAACCGUUUACUUGCAGUUACUUCUUGCCUGUUUUAUCUAUGGAGCCUUAUCUGGGAACACCUUCUGGGUUUUGAUCCAGUCAGAACUUCUUGGUUUGGACGUUCUUGGCUUUUAUACGUUUUUGUUGGGACCGUUGGAGCUGUAAACAACAGUUUUCAGGCUAAGUCAAAGUGCCUGCCAAUGCCAACCUUUCUGAUGGGAUAUGGCAUCAGAAAAUGGAUCGACAUAUUAUCCUAAGUAACUGCCUGUGAAUGCUUCCAUGGCUUCUCAAGGACAGUGAAAGCUUUGGGUUAUGUCAGCAGGAAGCCAAGAUUUUGUAGAGGAUUAUGUUCUCCGCUGGAUCCAACAAAGUAAACACCGAAAAAUGAUUCGGUGUGACAUCAUGCAACGCAAAUUAUGCAAUUCACGGUCACAUUCAGUGGGGCAGGAAGGCCAAUUUCUGUUAAUACAUGGCCGGCCGGCUUCUUCCUUUUGUAGGUAUUGUUAACAGCUUCAUCAGGUAACAUUAGGUGCACUAUAUACACAGCAAAUGGCGGAGCCGGCGACACACGAAAAAGAUCCUUCUGCAUGAGGCCAAAACUCAAUGGCACCCAGUUGCCUCUUGCUUCCUUCCACUGGCCAGCUGAUAUAAUGCAUUCGCAUUUGUUUCGUCCAUUGUUCUAAUUGAAAAUAUAAGCCUGACGCAGUUGAGUUAGAUGGCUUGGUGACAAUCGUGCUCGUAUGAAAUGUACUGGUGUGAGAAAAAUGUCUUCUUUUUUCUUCUGUGGGAGUAAUCGGUCAAAGCGAACAACAUGUCACAUGUGCCGUUUACUUGGCAACUUAACUGCUGAAAUGUUCUUCGGAGUUUAGUCUAAUGAUAAGCUGGUUGAUAUUCUGCAGCUGAAAGUAUUUACUGAAAGGAAUAUGGAGUUCACAAGUUACUA
Oryza sativa Japonica Group (Japanese rice) is the source of this 1672-nucleotide non-coding RNA. NCBI's taxonomy places the organism in Eukaryota, Viridiplantae, Streptophyta, Magnoliopsida, Poales, Poaceae. The record is from RefSeq and is a predicted model, not a curated record.